Lucilia sericata (common green bottle fly) is the source of this 321-nucleotide long non-coding RNA. RefSeq lists it as uncharacterized. The transcript has 3 exons. NCBI's taxonomy places the organism in Eukaryota, Metazoa, Arthropoda, Insecta, Diptera, Calliphoridae. The record is from RefSeq and is a predicted model, not a curated record.
UUAGAGAAAACAACCAACCAACUGAUCGUUUAAAGUACAAAAAAUAUUGAAUCGAAGACGUUCGUUCAAUCUUCUAUGACGGACGAAUAAUGAUCGUAAGGCAUGAAUCAUUCUAAUAAUAUUUUGUCAGGCAGUAGAUCGUUCGUUGUUUAAUAGUUAUGUGUAUACAAGGGUACCAAAAAUGAUACAAUUUGAAAUGUUAGUCCUGUUUCUAUAGCGAGGAUGUUGCACUGACUUUUUCUAUAUAUGAAUAUUUUUUGGUAAUUAUUUUUAUUUUGUUUGUUUGUAGUUGCUUAUUUGUACAAAUUCUAUUUGUUGUGG